This 357-nucleotide long non-coding RNA is filed under the name Nicotiana benthamiana. RNAcentral describes it as "long non-coding RNA (NBEN_LNC017512)". The record is from RNAcentral. Lineage: Eukaryota; Viridiplantae; Streptophyta; Magnoliopsida; Solanales; Solanaceae.
AAAGGGUCGAAGGCGAGGAAUGCAUACGGGUUUAAGCUGUGGUAUUCUAGGGUCGUGAGAGGUAAGAAUGGAGUGGGCAUCUUGGUAGAUAGGGAUCUAAGAGAGUCCGUGGUCGAGGUUAGGGGGUCGAAGGCGAGGAAUGUAGAUGGGCUUAAGCUAUGGUAUUAUGGGGUCGUGAGGGGUAAGAAUGGAGUGGGCAUCUUGGUGAUAGGGACCUAAGGGAGUCCGUGGUCGAGAUUAGGCGAGUGAAUGAUAGGUUAAUGUCUAUUAAGUUGGUUAUUGGGGUUGCGUCCUCAACGUCAUCAGCGCUUACGCGCCGCAAGCGGGCUUACACGAGGAGGCUAAAAGGCGCUUUUG